Molecule: ribosomal RNA, 863 nt
Filed under: Byssonectria terrestris
Lineage: Eukaryota; Fungi; Ascomycota; Pezizomycetes; Pezizales; Pyronemataceae
Description: eukaryotic LSU rRNA
Rfam family: Eukaryotic large subunit ribosomal RNA
Source: RNAcentral
UGCGAGUGAAGCGGCAAAAGCUCAAAUUUGAAAUCUGGCGUCUUCGACGUCCGAGUUGUAAUUUGGAGGGGCAUCUUCGGAAUUGGCGCCGUCCUAAGUUCCUUGGAACAGGACGUCAUAGAGGGUGAGAAUCCCGUGCCUGGAUGGCUGUCCAAUUCCAUGUGAAGUGUCUCCGACGAGUCGAGUUGUUUGGGAAUGCAGCUCAAAAUGGGUGGUAAAUUUCAUCUAAAGCUAAAUAUUGGCGAGAGACCGAUAGCGCACAAGUAGAGUGAUCGAAAGAUGAAAAGCACUUUGAAAAGAGAGUUAAAAAGUACGUGAAAUUGUUGAAAGGGAAGCGCUUGAGACCAGACUCAAUCUUAGGUGAUCAGCUGUGCUUCUGUACGGUGCACUUGCCUUUGAUUGGGCCAGCAUCAGUUCUGACGGUGGGAUAAAAUGCAUAGGAAUGUGGCUCUCUUCGGGGAGUGUUAUAGCCUUUGUAACAAUGCCACCAGUUGGGACUGAGGACCGCGCUUCGGCUAGGAUGCUGGCGUAAUGGUCUUAAGCGACCCGUCUUGAAACACGGACCAAGGAGUCUAACAUCUAUGCGAGUGUUCGGGUGGAAAACCCUUGCGCGUAAUGAAAGUGAACGGAGGUGUGAACCCCUCGGGGUGCAACAUCGACCGAUCCUGAUGUUUUCGGAAGGAUUUGAGUAAGAGCAUAGCUGUUGGGACCCGAAAGAUGGUGAACUAUGCCUGAAUAGGGUGAAGCCAGAGGAAACUCUGGUGGAGGCUCGCAGCGGUUCUGACGUGCAAAUCGAUCGUCAAAUUUGGGUAUAGGGGCGAAAGACUAAUCGAACCAUCUAGUAGCUGGUUCCUGCCGAAGUU